This 204-nucleotide ribosomal RNA is filed under the name uncultured Pseudomonas sp. RNAcentral's name for it is "partial 16S ribosomal RNA". It matches the Rfam family "Bacterial small subunit ribosomal RNA", at positions 1180 to 1382 of the family's 1533-position model. Lineage: Bacteria; Pseudomonadati; Pseudomonadota; Gammaproteobacteria; Pseudomonadales; Pseudomonadaceae. The record is from RNAcentral.
UGACGUCAAGUCAUCAUGGCCCUUACGGCCUGGGCUACACACGUGCUACAAUGGUCGGUACAAAGGGUUGCCAAGCCGCGAGGUGGAGCUAAUCCCAUAAAAACCGAUCGUAGUCCGGAUCGCAGUCUGCAACUCGACUGCGUGAAGUCGGAAUCGCUAGUAAUCGUGAAUCAGAAUGUCACGGUGAAUACGUUCCCGGGCCUU